Molecule: long non-coding RNA, 1079 nt
Organism: Xiphophorus hellerii (green swordtail)
Lineage: Eukaryota; Metazoa; Chordata; Actinopteri; Cyprinodontiformes; Poeciliidae
Exons: 2
Source: RefSeq, a predicted model, not a curated record
UGUGGGCUGCAGGGGCUGCUGGGAGCUUUGGUUCCUCUGCUAGAAACCACGUGGCCCUGGUCUGAUCUCUCAGCUCGUCCUUGUUUGGCCUCAGCUGCAUCAGAGCGCCACUUCUCCCCAGGUUCACCAGAGGAAACUCCACUGCACACAAUGCUUUUCCUCCCAGCUGCUGCUCUGUGCUGGCUGGGUUCAGCGCUGGCUGCCAUGGCAACACAGCUGGUUCAGGACCAUUUAACUCUGACCAGGAGAACCGGGCAGAGCGUCUCCUUCAGCUGUGGAGGAACUGAUCAGUGUGGUGGUUAUCCUGUAACCUGGUACCAGAAGAAAGAAACAGAAACAUUCAGAGCUAUUCUCUAUAUCACCUUUGGUGGUAGAACAGAUAAACCUUUCAAUCAUCCUCAGCAAGACGAUUUCUCAGCAGAAAGAAAUGAUAACAGCUGUAAACUGAAGAUCAACAAAGUUAAACUGGAUCAUUCAGCCUCCUACUACUGCGGCUGUUGGAAGUCUGAUUCCCACAGUGAGAAAUGAUUCCUUCAGCCUGAACAAAAACCUCCAGAUGAUCAGAUGUCAGUUUGUGACAUAGAGAGCAGUAAACCACAGCCCAGGUUCACUGAUUUCACCUCCAUCUCACACAGAGACUCUCUGAGUUUUAGUCUUUAAUGUUUCAUCAUUUUGUUAGAAUCCACUGUGAAGGUUUCUGGUGUCUUUAGUGUUUAUUUGCUUCUUUCAAAAGAAUUUGGAUGUUGGAGGCGUAAUGAUUGACAAAAAAUACUAAAAUUUUGCAAGUGCAUCAGGUUUCCAUGAAAUUUGAGUGUUUUAAUGGUUUCAGAAAAGUUGCAACUGAAAUGACCAACAGCGCCCCCUGGAAACGUUUAAAACCACUGACUCACCAGCUUACUUUAUCAUACAGACAUGAAGUUUGGAAAACUUGUAGAACUUCCCAAGAAUUACAGAAAGUUUCCUCCACCAUGCUCUAUGACUAACAGGAAGUCGGCCAUCUUGGAUUGUACUAGUGAUAUUAACCUAAUUUUGUCUAUUUGUUGCUUCUGUUUUUGAUCAAAUUUUUAGAAGUUUUGAUC